UACGUAGGGGGCAAGCGUUGUCCGGAUUUAUUGGGCGUAAAGAGCGCGUAGGCGGCCAGGUAGGUCUGCUGUGAAAACUCGAGGCUCAACCUCGAGACGUCGGCGGAAACCAUCUGGCUAGAGUCCGGAAGAGGAGAGUGGAAUUCCUGGUGUAGCGGUGAAAUGCGUAGAUAUUGGGAAGAACACCUGAGGCGAAGGCGGGUUGCUGGGCCGUCACUGACGCUGAGGCGCGAAAGCCAGGGGAGCAAACGGG
RNAcentral lists this ribosomal RNA (253 nucleotides) under uncultured bacterium. RNAcentral describes it as "partial 16S ribosomal RNA". It matches the Rfam family "Bacterial small subunit ribosomal RNA", at positions 524 to 776 of the family's 1533-position model. The record is from RNAcentral.